UGGAGAUAAUGAAAAUAUUCUAAAAGUGAUCGUGGUGAUGGAUACACAACUCUGUGAAUAUACUAAAAGCUAUUGAAUUGAAUACUUCAAAUGUUGAGUUGUAUGGCAUGCGAAUCGUAUUUCAAUAAAGCUGUUUUAAAAAAGGCUAAAGUUAACAGUCCCGUAGAGGAAAAAGUAUUUAGUGCAGGGUGAAGAAGGCUGGAUGCCAUGAAUUGGGAGGGGAAGGGAGAUGACCUCUGCUGUUUGUGAGGUCAGAAACUAGGGUGAGGCUGCCUUGGCCACAGAUGGUGGUGGCGUAUGGUUCUGAGGUAAGUAGACACGUUUUUAGUUCCCUAAUAGUUCUUUCCCCUGGCUUCCCAGGCUUCCUACCCUGCUUCUUCACCACCUCCCACUUUGCAGAUCAUCUCUAGCAUCAUCCAAAUCUGACUUAGGCAGUUCCCUACUUAAAAUCCUCCUGGGGACUCUUGCUGCUUUCGGGAUAAGGCCCAAAUCUUCACACUCCUUUGCCGGCCUAUGAAGCGCCUUGUGGUGUUGCCCUCCCACGCCUCUGCUUUUGUCUCCCACAUGUAUCCACAGCCACACUGGUUUGUUGUCUCACACCUCUGCUUCUCCCAGGGUGCUGAAAUUCCUGCCUGGAAUGCCCUCCCCCUUGCCUGACUUCCUAAUCCACCCACCAUUCAGUGUGGCUCAAAUAUCACCUCCUCCAGGAAGAUUUGGACUUGUCCAGGCUGGGCUAAAGGUCGUCCCUCUUUUGUGUUCCUAGCACGCUUUUAUGUACAUUCUGGCUGUCUAAUCUAUGCACUUGUUAUUACCCGCUUCUAAUUGUGUUAGUUUCAACUCUUAGUCUGAAUUCUUACUACUUGACCUUGGCCAAGUUACUUAACCUCUCAAUAUACUGAUCAAAAAGGGGAUUAAAAACAAUAUCUUCUUCCUAAAUGUGCUGUGAAGAUUAAAGUUAUUAAAAAUAUGAAAAAAUGUGUUAAAGCCAUAUAUAAUAUACUGUAUAUAUUAUAUAUUAAAAAUAUAUGUUCAAAUGCUUUGCACAAUGUCUUGCACAGUGUAAGCACUACAUAAAUGAAGAUUUU
Molecule: long non-coding RNA, 1085 nt
Filed under: Homo sapiens (human)
Lineage: Eukaryota; Metazoa; Chordata; Mammalia; Primates; Hominidae
Description: HSALNT0296898
Source: RNAcentral